This 96-nucleotide small nuclear RNA is filed under the name Myotis lucifugus (little brown bat). The record is from RNAcentral. Lineage: Eukaryota; Metazoa; Chordata; Mammalia; Chiroptera; Vespertilionidae.
GUGCUGGCGCCCAGAGAACAUAUACUAAAAUUGGAACAAUACAGAGAUUAGUGUGGCCCCGAUAACAUGCAGAUUAGUUCAUCAUUCCGUAUUUUU